Molecule: ribosomal RNA, 513 nt
Filed under: bacterium enrichment culture clone ALO1_GLFRUDD03FXRYJ
Lineage: Bacteria
Description: bacterial SSU rRNA
Rfam family: Bacterial small subunit ribosomal RNA
Source: RNAcentral
GAGUUUGAUCAUGGCUCAGAUUGAACGCUGGCGGCAGGCCUAACACAUGCAAGUCGAGCGGAUGACGGGAGCUUGCUCCUUGAUUCAGCGGCGGACGGGUGAGUAAUGCCUAGGAAUCUGCCUGGUAGUGGGGGACAACGUUUCGAAAGGAACGCUAAUACCGCAUACGUCCUACGGGAGAAAGCAGGGGACCUUCGGGCCUUGCGCUAUCAGAUGAGCCUAGGUCGGAUUAGCUAGUUGGUGGGGUAAUGGCUCACCAAGGCGACGAUCCGUAACUGGUCUGAGAGGAUGAUCAGUCACACUGGAACUGAGACACGGUCCAGACUCCUACGGGAGGCAGCAGUGGGGAAUAUUGGACAAUGGGCGAAAGCCUGAUCCAGCCAUGCCGCGUGUGUGAAGAAGGUCUUCGGAUUGUAAAGCACUUUAAGUUGGGAGGAAGGGCAGUAAGUUAGUACCUUGCUGUUUUGACGUUACCGACAGAAUAAGCACCGGCUAACUCUGUGCCAGCCGCCG